UGAGCAAUCUGCCCUUCACAUCGGGAUAACCCCCGGAAACGGGAGCUAAUACCGGAUACGACCACUUCAGGCAUCUGAUGGUGGUGGAAAGUUCUGGCGGUGAAGGAUGAGCUCGCGGCCUAUCAGCUUGUUGGUGGGUAAUGGCCCACCAAGGCUUCGACGGGUAGCCGGCCUGGAGAGGGUGACCGGCCACACUGGGACUGAGACACGGCCAGACCUCCUACGGGAG
Molecule: ribosomal RNA, 229 nt
Filed under: uncultured bacterium
Lineage: Bacteria
Description: partial 16S ribosomal RNA
Rfam family: Bacterial small subunit ribosomal RNA
Source: RNAcentral